Molecule: non-coding RNA, 1407 nt
Organism: Heterocephalus glaber (naked mole-rat)
Lineage: Eukaryota; Metazoa; Chordata; Mammalia; Rodentia; Bathyergidae
Source: RefSeq, a predicted model, not a curated record
ACAUUCGCCAUCUUCGACACUGGCAUGGACGACUUAAUCGCCCCUGGAUCACUGAAGUAGCUGCACUGGACGCCAUGUCGCGUUGGGGCAAAAAGGACGGAUAACUUCUGGAUUGGACGUCCAAACAAGUUCUUAUAGUCUCGCCUAAAGUAAGGUACCCUUUAGACAGAGAAGCAACGGUACGCUUUCCCUGUAGUAAGGGAAAUGUGAAUGGAAAGUAUGUUCAUAUACCAUUUUUACACUUGGGUUACAAAGAUAGGGAAAUCUGAGCGCACGAGCUCUCUUCAAUGAGUGUAUCUUCCGUGACCGUGGUCGUGUAAACCUGGAUCACUCUUGGAGGGCAGCCUUGCGGUAUCUUUCCAUCGAAAGUGGAAAAAAUAUCCUUCCUUUGACAGCAGUCCUAUUAUAGACAGCUAAGUUAGAUAGAAAUAUUGCAGGCAGAUAGGGCUAGGCCCUUCAGAGAGGACAAAGGCGAAAUUAUCACAACUGUGGCCAGAGACACAUCUGCUGGAGAUCAGGCCCCAAGAAAAAGACGAGAUGACCACACCUGUAUACUUCCUCAAAGGAUAAACAGUGGGCCUAAUGAAAUCUAUAUAGAUAUCAGUCACUUGUUUCUCAAUUGGAUCACUAUUACCUAAGUGACUAUACUUAUAACCUUAUUGGUUGAUCAGAGCUGUAGUAGGUUUUGCUCUGUACAACUCCUCUGUAAAGUAGGGUACCUGGCUACCUAUUCAGGACCACUCCUGCUUCUCAGGAGCUAGCCUAUCAUUAUUUUCCUACUCUUUAUCUCCGUUGUUCCUAGAAUUCAUUCUUGAAUUUUUAGAGAACACAAGCUCAGCGUAUCAGACAAUAGGUUGGGAGAAAUAACAUUUUCAUACUUCGUCCCCUGUAUCACAUACUGUAUCAGCCCCACCUCUUGGAGUAUCAGAUUUCCUAUGUGUAAUAUGAAGGAUGCUCAAGGAUGCAUACCGCCCCCCCCCCCGCAACCCCGACAUUAGCAAAAAAAUGACCAGGAUGAGAAACUGGACACAGUAAGGCUCAUCAGUGCCAUGGAAUUUCAGGAAGCUCAGAGAACAAAGCCAUGUCUGGACUAUCGGAGCACUCCAAAAUAAGAACUUUAUUAGCUUCAGAAGAUUAAUAAUAGGACUCUUCCUGGUCUACCUUGAAAACUGCAACAGACUUGGUGAUCUGAUAACCUGUUAACUGGAAAACAGAGGACUUGGACCCAGUUACUUGAGCUGAGAGACUAAAGUGUGAAGAAUUUUUAUUUCAAAGGCUGUAAAAUAAAUCAAAUCACUGUAUCUUCCAAAUUGGUAUAGAAAUCUGGGCCUCUCUGACACCUAAAACUUAUAUCCAAAUCAAUAAGCUCCUUAGAGUCCCAGAUAAUAGACACACAAUGACAGAACA